UGGUGCCAGCAGCCGCGGUAAUUCCAGCUCCAAUAGACGUACGUUAAAGUUGCUGACAGUUAAAAAGCUCGUAGUUGAACGUUCGGGUUCCGCGGACGGGGCCGCCCCGCGAGGGACGGCGCCGCCCCGGGGCUCGUGAUAUCUCAUCUCGCCGCCCGUCGCGAGGCGGACGGAGGGAUGGAUGAGGUUACCUGGAAAAAAUCGGGGGCGAUCUAGGGCGGGCGAACCUCGACCAACGAACGAUCGGACAUGGGAUAACGGAAGAGGGCGUCGGCUCGACUUCGUCGGUUCCUCGGGCCGAGGCACGUACGGUGAAUAGGGACGGUCGGGGCCGCCCGUACCGGGUCGUGAGAGGUGAAAUUCUAGGAUCGACCCGAGACGAACCGCCGCGAAAGCAUUCGGCAAGGACGCUUUCAUUAAUCAAGAACGAAAGUCGGGGGGAUCGAAGACGAUCAGAUACCGUCGUAGUCCCGACCGUAAACGAUGCCGACCGAGGGCCCGGAGGAGUUACGUACGACCCUCCGGGGCCCUCCCGCGAGAAAUCAGGAGUAUUCGGGUUCCGGGGGGGAGUAUGCCGCAAGGUUAAAAACUCAAAAGGAAUUGACGGG
This 608-nucleotide ribosomal RNA is filed under the name uncultured eukaryote. RNAcentral's name for it is "bacterial SSU rRNA". It matches the Rfam family "Eukaryotic small subunit ribosomal RNA", at positions 562 to 1160 of the family's 1831-position model. The record is from RNAcentral.